RNAcentral lists this ribosomal RNA (460 nucleotides) under uncultured bacterium. RNAcentral's name for it is "partial 16S ribosomal RNA". It matches the Rfam family "Bacterial small subunit ribosomal RNA", at positions 338 to 795 of the family's 1533-position model. The record is from RNAcentral.
CCUACGGGAGGCAGCAGUGAGGAAUAUUGGUCAAUGGGCGGAAGCCUGAACCAGCCAAGUCGCGUGAGGGAUUAAGGCCCUAUGGGUCGUAAACCUCUUUUGUCAGGGAGCAAGGUCGUCCAAGUGUGGGCGUAUGGAGAGUACCUGAAGAAACAGCAUCGGCUAAUACCGUGCCAGCAGCCGCGGUAAUACGGAGGAUGCGAGUGUUAUCCGGAUUUAUUGGGUUUAAAGGGUGCGUAGGCGGGACCUUAAGUCAGCGGUAAAAUUGCGGUGCUCAACGCCGUAGAGCCGUUGAAACUGGGGCUCGUGAGUGAUCGAGAGGUAUGCGGAAUGCGUGGUGUAGCGGUGAAAUGCAUAGAUAUCACGCGGAACUCCGAUUGCGAAGGCAGCAUACCGGCGCCCGACUGACGCUGAGGCACGAAAGCGUGGGUAUCGAACAGGAUUAGAUACCCGUGUAGUC